AACAAGAAAGCUUUAAACUUGAGAAGAAGGAAAGCUUUAAGAAAUCAGAUUUUUUUUUUUUUUAAGUUUCUAACUCUCCUAAGACUAUUUUAUAAGAGGACAAAGGCGGUUUAGAAGUAUUGGAUUAGGAAAAGGAAAUCUCAUUUGUUUAGAAGUAUUGGAUUAGGAAAAGGAAAUCUCAUUUGUCAAAGGGCUAUAUUAUAAAUAUACCAUGUAUUAGUAACUCCUAAUAAAGAAAAAAAAUGUAAUCCCCUAAAUGCCCUCGCUGGAAAAUUCCGAAUUAUGAUUCCGCUGAACGCGCCCCCACUCCCGCGGAGGGGCG
RNAcentral lists this long non-coding RNA (322 nucleotides) under Gossypium barbadense (sea-island cotton). Its description in RNAcentral is "long non-coding RNA (GBAR_LNC018271)". Lineage: Eukaryota; Viridiplantae; Streptophyta; Magnoliopsida; Malvales; Malvaceae. The record is from RNAcentral.